Non-coding RNA from Electrophorus electricus (electric eel), 4142 nucleotides. NCBI's taxonomy places the organism in Eukaryota, Metazoa, Chordata, Actinopteri, Gymnotiformes, Gymnotidae. The record is from RefSeq and is a predicted model, not a curated record.
AACAAGAAAGUAAGAGAAAUAGUACAGAUGAGCACAAGAAGCUAGCAAAUACCCAUAAAUGUUCAUCCUUAAAACAAAAAUAAAAUUGUGUGGUUCCCACCCAAAUGCAAUUACUUAACUAGCCCUUAUCUUACGAACAGCUGUUACUCAGUUCAUGCUGUGACCACCUACUCAACUAGCACCCACACAGACGACAUAGAACUACCCAAGAUAACUUUGUAUUUAUAGAAAACAAUUACAGAAUAUAGUCUCAUCAGUUCACGAGUUGUUAGGCAACAAGCUAGCUAGAAAACGGACAGCCACAAGUCUGAGUCAAGAAGUCGUGUCAAACUUCCGCUAGCUACUUAAAUUUGACGUAUUUAAGAUCAUAGAAAUGGUAAAAAUGUCUUUACAACUGCUACACUUUUGCCUUAAGGGGAAAAUAUUAAGUUUAAAGUCAUAGAUGCCUGCUGAGUAACGUGUGCUGCAGAGUGCGUCACGACUGAGCUGGAGCAUACUGUGCCAGUACAAACUGGAAAGAAGACGCCAUUUUGAGGGAAGACGAACGAAACGGAAUGGUGGAAUGUUUGUAAAAGCAAGAUUACAUGACGUCACCGGGCACGCCCUCAUCCAGAACUACACGGACAGUUAAAUAACCCCUCAUCUUCAACUAUCCCACAGCCAGUUACCGUCUGAUUAUCUGUUAGACUCUCUGACUCUAGCCAUGUCACUUUAACCAUAAUAGAAUAAAGCAUACGUAAGAGUUAAAACUGUGUCCAGGGCUUGUCAUGUUUCAGAGUAACAUGAGCUAAAAAAGAUAAUCCAUUCUCCUAUUAGGAUGCUGUCUAUAUGAAGGGAUGUACCUGAAUGGCACUAAUAUUCAACUAUACAAAUUAUGAACCACCAAUAUUUAUAGAUUUAUUUUGGAAAAUUACAUGAUGAUUUGUUUUCCCUGUAAUGUAAACAUUAUAAAUGUGUAUUUAAAUUGUGUUGAUGCAAAGUCCUGCUUAAAUUAUUGCCCGCCAGCUAGAAAUGCUGUAGGUUAAGUAGGGUAACAGUUCCCAGAAACCAUCUUCUAUCUGUUCAACUUUCGAGCCAGACAACUGUAAUGUUGCAUUCCAUCUACUGGAAAACCAUUACUGUCAUAUAGGACUGGAUUUACACAACACAAUCUAUAUUAAAUGUUUGUGCUUUAAGUUUAAUAUUUGUUUCUCAACAAAAAACAAACUGUAGAUAACCUAUCUGUUGUGCUUAGGAACAGAUAUUUAUUUCAUGUAGAUUACUUUUUUUUUUCUGUAGUUGCUUGCUAAUAAUAAAAGGACUAUGUGUGCAAAUGUUGCAUUCACAUUGACAAUCCCUGGGUUUAGGGCUGCCUCACGGCCCUGGCAGUCACAGGACUCUGGGCACAAGGUUUUUUCAUUCAACCAAGGAAGCAUUUCCUUGAAACAAAUAGUUGUGGAAGUAGUAAUGGACACUGUACCAUACAUUUCAGCUUUGUGAAGCUCAAACAGUUCUUGUUGAGGCUGAAUAACAGAUAUUCAGCAAAAAUUGUAACAAAUGUUUGUAAUAUAACUUAACAAAUGCAAAGACACAGAUGAGUCUCAGGUGAGCUUUAUUACUUAAAAAUACAUUGAAAAACAUUUCAAAAGUCCACACUGGUUACCUAGUACACAGGCACACACACAAAAAGAAAUCUACUCUGCUUAAGAUGAAAGUACUCAGCAGAGGUCCAUUAAUAUAAUAUAUUUUUGGUCUUAAGAUAAAUAUGCCUCAUUUAUCAACAUGAAUAAUGAAUGACAUUUCUUAUUCUAUGUAAUACAAACAAACUCUCUUGAAGAAAGGAAAGGAACUUUUAUAUUGCUCACGCUCCGUGCCACUGACUCAGUCACUCCAUCUAACGCCAAGAGUCCCAGCCGGUUUCUGCAUUCUGGCUCCCCUGAUUAUUGAGUGGUUUCUAAUUCCGUUUACUGAUUUAACCUUUCAAUGUCCACUCACUCUUUGCAAAUACCGGCAUGGUUCAUUCCUGCAUACUAAAUGUUUCUGUUGUCUUUCUCUUUGGUUAACCAACCUGUGUCUGUCUCUGGAUUUUGCCUUAGCUCAGUUCCCCUAUGGUUUGUUUGCCUUUAGGGAUUGCUGUCAAGCUAUCUGUACUUUGGGCUGUUGUCUCGUUUUGCCCUUAGUCCAGUCCAACUGUACUGUUUUUGCCCGCUCUGGAUAUUGACCUGUUUUUGUAUCUCGACCACGGCUUUGGAUGUCCCCUCUGUCAAUAAACCCAUAUUGCCUCAUCAUAUCUGAAUCGCAUAUACAGUAAAGGCUGUUUAAAAAAAAUAAAAUAGUGGAUCUAACCAACCAUGAUCUUUUUUUUUCAAAGUAUUAGUGUAAAUAGAGAUUGCUUCUCAUUUGAAAAUAAAAGGACUUUCUUUAUAUUUUCAUGCACAGAAAAGUACCAUCACCAGCACUGAGCCAGCAAAAUGUGGUACAUAAAGCCAUGCACAUAGCUAAAGUGGUGGCAGUUAGAGAUGCUAUAAAUGACUCAAAAGGUGUAGGAACCGAUACAGUAACAUACAUUUAACAUGUUUGUGUUCAGGUUAGCAUAUAACAAUACUGAUGCUCCAUUUUAUCACGGCUUUAACAGAGUAUAUUCAGUUACGGACACAUGAAGCACUUCAGAGGGUCUGACCACAGCAUUGUCUAAUAGAUUGCCGUCUUUCCACAAAAGACAGCUACAAGAAUGUUCGCUUGAGAGGCACUUGGCUGAAGAAGUGUGGCACAGGCUCAGAAUUCAGCGCAUCCUUAUUCUCAGACUGUAUUUGAUGCUACGCACAUCUGAACUGGAGAGGUUGGACUUUAUUUGCAGGAGGGCAAGGAUAUGGCGUUCACUGAGAAGAGGAACCAUGGAAUUAUAAGAGUCUAUGUGGGUCUCUCACAGUAGUUUAUUUAUAUAUGUAAUAUCACACUGAAUUGAUGCCUGCAUUGGAAGAAUAAGCAUCUUGCAAUGUUCCAUAUAUUUGGUACAUAUAUGUAUGUAUGUAUGUAUGUAUGUAUGUAUGUAUGUAUGUAUAUGUAUAACUACAUUUCAUAUCUUAUUUAGUGAAUACUGCAAGAAAAUGAAUGUGAAGAAUGCCUGGUGUGGGCUCUGUGAGUCAGUAGCAAAAACACUUUUCACAGCCCACAGCUUUUUUGUAGAGCUAAGAAAUUCCCAAAUAGAGUUCUUAUGCUUUUGAGACAUAUUGGACGUGUGGUGGCUCAACAACCUCGACAUUUUUCUAUAGGGAAUGGUGGAAUGUUUGUAAAAACAAGAUUACAUGACCUCACCGGGCACGCCCUCAUCCAGAACUACAUGGACAGUUAAAUAACCCCUCAUCUUCAACUAUCCCACAGCCAGUUACCGCCAGCCACAAUGACCCCCACAGCACCUCAAUAACUGCCCCAUCAGCCAAAUUGAGCUACAUAAUCUCUCAAUUUCAAUUACUCCCAAAGCGCAACCACCCGCUUAGUGCACACCUGUUUCCUGUUUUCUUUGGAAUAAUAAUUCCAGUAUAUCAUAUCCAGCCUUGCUUCAUAUCAGGAUCUACGAGAGACUGUGCUACGCUAUUCUAAGUAUUCCAUGCUCAUGUUCAAGUCUAUAUCUUGCCCCUAGCUUCUGAUUUUGUCUGAUUAUCUGUUAGACUCUCUGACUCUAGCCAUGUCACUUUAACCAUAAUAGAAUAAAGCAUACGUAAGAGUUAAAACUGUGUCCAGGGCUUGUCAUGUUUCAGAGUAACAUGAGCUAAAAAAGAUAAUGCAUUCUCCUAUUAGGAUGCUGUCUAUAUGAAGGGAUGUACCUGAAUGGCACUAAUAUUCAACUAUACAAAUUAUGAACCACCAAUAUUUAUAGAUUUAUUUUGGAAAAUUACAUGAUGAUUUGUUUUCCCUGUAAUGUAAACAUUAUAAAUGUGUAUUUAAAUUGUGUUGAUGCAAAGUCCUGCUUAAAUUAUUGCCCGCCAGCUAGAAAUGCUGUAGGUUAAGUAGGGUAACAGUUCCCAGAAACCAUCUUCUAUCUGUUCAACUUUCGAGCCAGACAACUGUAAUGUUGCAUUCCAUCUACUGGAAAACCAUUACUGUCAUAUAGGACUGGAUUUACACAACACAAUCUAUAUUAAAUGUUUGUGCUUUAAGUUUAA